CCUUGUACACACCGCCCGUCACACCACGAAAGCCCGUCGCAACAGAAGUCGGUGAUCCAACCCGCAAGGGAGGAAGCCGCCAAAGUUGUGGUUGGUGAUUGGGGUG
RNAcentral lists this ribosomal RNA (106 nucleotides) under uncultured bacterium. RNAcentral's name for it is "partial 16S ribosomal RNA". It matches the Rfam family "Bacterial small subunit ribosomal RNA", at positions 1379 to 1482 of the family's 1533-position model. The record is from RNAcentral.